Molecule: ribosomal RNA, 465 nt
Filed under: uncultured Klebsiella sp.
Lineage: Bacteria; Pseudomonadati; Pseudomonadota; Gammaproteobacteria; Enterobacterales; Enterobacteriaceae
Description: bacterial SSU rRNA
Rfam family: Bacterial small subunit ribosomal RNA
Source: RNAcentral
CCUACGGGCGGCUGCAGUGGGGAAUAUUGCACAAUGGGCGCAAGCCUGAUGCAGCCACGCCGCGUGUGUGAAGAAGGCCUUCGGGUUGUAAAGCACUUUCAGCGGGGAGGAAGGCGUUAAGGUUAAUAACCUUGUCGAUUGACGUUACCCGCAGAAGAAGCACCGGCUAACUCCGUACCAGCAGCCGCGGUAAUACGGAGGGUGCAAGCGUUAAUCGGAAUUACUGGGCGUAAAGCGCACGCAGGCGGUCUGUCAAGUCGGAUGUGAAAUCCCCGGGCUCAACCUGGGAACUGCAUUCGAAACUGGCAGGCUAGAGUCUUGUAGAGGGGGGUAGAAUUCCAGGUGUAGCGGUGAAAUGCGUAGAGAUCUGGAGGAAUACCGGUGGCGAAGGCGGCCCCCUGGACAAAGACUGACGCUCAGGUGCGAAAGCGUGGGGAGCAAACAGGAUUAGAUACCCCGGUAGUC